RNAcentral lists this non-coding RNA (784 nucleotides) under Cosmoscarta heros. Lineage: Eukaryota; Metazoa; Arthropoda; Insecta; Hemiptera; Cercopidae. The record is from RNAcentral.
AUAAAGUUUGAUUCUUGCUUUGAGUUUAAUUUUUUCAUUAUUUUACAUGCAAGAUUUUUCGUGAAUAAUUUUUUAAUUCUAAAUGAUUAAUUUUUUAUUCGCAGUAAUUUGUUCUGUAUUUUUAUUUUGGUAUGAUAUGUUAAAUGAUUAUUGUUUAUGAUUAAUUUUGUGCCAGCAUUCGCGGUUAUACAAUUGUAAAUUAUUAAAUUUUAUAUCUUUUAGUUAAUCGUUAUUUUUGAAAUUUAUUAUUAUUUAAUUAGGUAAAAUUUUUAUUUAAUUUUUUAUUCUUUAUUUAUAAGUGUUUCUAAGAAAUUUUUUUUUAAACUAGGAUUAGAUACCCUAUUAUUUUGAAUGUAAACUUUAUAGAUUGAUUAUUAAUAGUUAUGAUCUUUAAAUUUAAAGAAUUUGGCGGUAAUUAAGUCUUUUUAGAGGAACCUGUUUUUUAAUUGAUAAUCCACGAUUGAUUUUACUUUAAUGUUACUUGUAUAUCUCUGUCAUUGAAUGUAUUAUUAGGUUUUUAUUUUCAUUUAGUUUUAGUUUAAAUUUAUGUUAGGUCAAGGUGCAGUUUGUAUUAAAGUUUAAAUGGGUUACAUUGUUUUUAUUUUGGAUUUUGAUUUGUAAAAUUUAAUUAAAAUUGGAUUUAAUAGUAAUUUUAAUUAGUAAAGUUAUUUUGAUUUUGGCUCUUAAUUAUGUACACAUUGCCCGUCACUCUCAUUAAUUUGAGAUAAGUCGUAACAAAGUAGAUUUACCGGAAGGUGAAUCUAGAAAGAAUUUCAAGUUAAAG